ACUUGUGGCUAGCUAAGUUGAGGACCUGAAGAGGAUGUAUUAAUACAUCGAAAACGUUCAUCUAAUAAAAAUUGGAGUUUUGCCAUACUGCAUGAAGUGCUGUGUGUUCUUUUAUUAAAGAAUUUAUAAUUACAUUAUACAAAUGCAAAAAAUAGGAAUAAAAUAAAGGAAAAGAUUCCUAAAGGCCUACUGAUUCUGUUACAUCUGGCAAUAUGAAAAGAAGGAAAGUAGUUGACAGGAAUUGUAAUGUUUAUGAUAUAACUUAUAAUGAAGAUGUGAAGAAGAAAACAGGAGCAGCAUGGAUUCAAUGUUGUUUUUAUAUGAUACCGUAUCAUACAAAAGGCCAAAACAAUUCAUUAGAUAAGGAUGAUGUAUUUAUGUGCACUAAUUGUGAAACAUAUUUUACAAAUGACUAAUGUCUAC
This 423-nucleotide long non-coding RNA is filed under the name Androctonus crassicauda. The record is from RNAcentral. Lineage: Eukaryota; Metazoa; Arthropoda; Arachnida; Scorpiones; Buthidae.